UAUGGCUAUAUCACGUUGAAAUAUCGCCUCAGGUACGAUCACCGAAGUUAAGCAACGUCGAGCCUGGUCAGAACCUAGAUGAGUGACCGCUAGGGAAUAUCAGGUGCUGUAGG
Acanthosepion pharaonis is the source of this 113-nucleotide non-coding RNA. The record is from the annotation of a GenBank genome assembly. NCBI's taxonomy places the organism in Eukaryota, Metazoa, Mollusca, Cephalopoda, Sepiida, Sepiidae.